UGUCUCUGAUGAAAGUGGGGGAUGAACACUGAACCAAACCCACACUGCUCAGCACAUUUGAUGCGGCCAGAAACAGACUGCCAAGGCUGAGAAAGCUUUUCAGGGGCCGUCUGGCUGUGUGGGUGCGAAGACCUGGCUGUAUUUGGAAUCACCUGGGAAGACUUACAAAAAUGGUUUCCAAGCCUCACCCGCAAGGAUUCUGACUUGGCAAUGGAAGAAUGAAAGGCAACCCAGAGUGAAAUUAGGAUUACAAUUUUACAAACGUCUGUUUCUGACGCAGAAAGCACAUCAUUUGUCCACAUCACACUCUCUUGGAAUUUAUGACAAAGCCAGGUAAAUGAAAACUUGGAAAGAUAAACCUCAGAUAAGGGGGACUACUGUAUUCAUUCCUUCACCAUGGCGUGUCUGUGUCUGAGAAUCUACCCUUAAAAACAAUCUGGAUGCAAAGAAGCCGUGAGAUAGAGCGCAGUCCCUUCAUUUCAUAAAAGAAUGAAACUAACUCAAAUACACAAG
This 513-nucleotide long non-coding RNA is filed under the name Pan troglodytes (chimpanzee). RNAcentral describes it as "long non-coding RNA NONPTRT011026". The record is from RNAcentral. Lineage: Eukaryota; Metazoa; Chordata; Mammalia; Primates; Hominidae.